This 100-nucleotide microRNA precursor is filed under the name Caenorhabditis briggsae. RNAcentral's name for it is "pre miRNA CBG29620". The stretch from base 17 to 89 matches the Rfam family "mir-35 microRNA precursor family". The record is from Rfam by way of RNAcentral. Lineage: Eukaryota; Metazoa; Nematoda; Chromadorea; Rhabditida; Rhabditidae.
CCCUUAGUCCAGUUCUGGACAUUCGCGGGUUUUUUCCUUCGGUGAUAUUCGAAGAAUCGCUAUCACCGGGUGAAAACUUGCAAGUGUCUUGCUUCGACUG